This 233-nucleotide ribosomal RNA is filed under the name uncultured bacterium. RNAcentral describes it as "partial 16S ribosomal RNA". It matches the Rfam family "Bacterial small subunit ribosomal RNA", at positions 524 to 756 of the family's 1533-position model. The record is from RNAcentral.
GACGAACCGUGCGAACGUUAUUCGGAAUCACUGGGCUUAAAGCGUGCGCAGGCGGUUCGCUGUGUCGGCGGUGAAAGCCCCGGGCUCAACCUGGGAAUGGCCGUUGAAACUGGCGAACUGGAGUGUGGCAGAGGGGGGUGGAAGUUCCGCGUGUAGCAGUGAAAUGCGUAGAGAUGCGGAGGAACACCGAUGGCGAAGGCAGCCCCCUGGGCUGACACUGACGCCUCAGGCGA